AUUGAACGCUGGCGGUAUGCUUUACACAUGCAAGUCGAACGGCAGCACGGGGACAGCCUUGGUUGCUAGUUGCCAACUGGUGAGUAAUACAUGGGAACGUGGCCGGCCGUGUGUGAUCACGUCGUGAAAGUUGCGCUCAUACCGCAUACGUUCAGAUGAUGAAAGCGUGGGACCUUCGUCGCUCCGGACAUCGGGACAGGGGAUGUCAGGUUGGGUAGUUGGUUGGUUAAAGGCCUACCAACCCGACGAUUCGAAGCUGGUCUGAUAGGACGACCAGCCACACUGGAACUGAGACACGGCCCAGACUCCUACGGGAGGCAGCAGUGGGGAAUUUUGGACAAUGGGCGCAAGCCUGAUCCAGCCAUUCCGCGUGCAGGAAGAAGGCCUUCGGGUUGUAAAACCCUUUUGUACGGAAAGAAAAGCCUCUGGCUAAUACCUGGGGCUCCUGACGGUACCGAAAGAAUAAGCACCGGCUAACUACGUG
This 484-nucleotide ribosomal RNA is filed under the name uncultured bacterium. RNAcentral describes it as "partial 16S ribosomal RNA". It matches the Rfam family "Bacterial small subunit ribosomal RNA", at positions 30 to 507 of the family's 1533-position model. The record is from RNAcentral.